RNAcentral lists this ribosomal RNA (327 nucleotides) under Aname sp. MYG176. RNAcentral's name for it is "partial 12S ribosomal RNA". Lineage: Eukaryota; Metazoa; Arthropoda; Arachnida; Araneae; Anamidae. The record is from RNAcentral.
UCUGAAAUAAAAAAGGUAAUACUUAUUAGGAAACCUUCACCCCUUGGCGGCCUUAUUUCUUAUCGAAGGAACUUGUCCUUUAAUCGAAAUUACCCGUUAGUUUUCUCUUUUAUCUUGUUUUUAUACCGUCGUCUUAAGAAUAUUGUUUAAUAAAUUAUACUUAAUUGAGCAAUCAACAAAGUCAGAUCAAGGUGAAGUUUAUAUAAAAGUUCAGGGUGAGUUAUGCAUAAGUACUACUAAAGGAUUAAUCUUAAAAAAGCUUAUAAAAUUAAGAUUCAACAGUACCUAAAAAUUAAAAUUUUUAAGGGAAGAAGUAAAAAAAGGUGU